Molecule: unclassified non-coding RNA, 20 nt
Filed under: Dictyostelium discoideum
Lineage: Eukaryota; Evosea; Eumycetozoa; Dictyosteliales; Dictyosteliaceae
Source: RNAcentral
AAGCUUGCUGGUUUAAAAGG